CUGGGGCUGGGGCUCAGUGUUAGAGCACUUGCCUAGCAUGUGCAAGGCAGUGGGUUCAAUUCUCAGCUCCACA
Molecule: transfer RNA, 73 nt
Filed under: Marmota monax (woodchuck)
Lineage: Eukaryota; Metazoa; Chordata; Mammalia; Rodentia; Sciuridae
Description: tRNA.Ala
Rfam family: tRNA
About the family: Transfer RNA (tRNA) molecules are approximately 80 nucleotides in length. Their secondary structure includes four short double-helical elements and three loops (D, anti-codon, and T loops).
Source: RNAcentral